Molecule: ribosomal RNA, 253 nt
Filed under: uncultured bacterium
Lineage: Bacteria
Description: partial 16S ribosomal RNA
Rfam family: Bacterial small subunit ribosomal RNA
Source: RNAcentral
UACGGAGGGGGCUAGCGUUGCUCGGAAUCACUGGGCGUAAAGCGCACGUAGGCGGUUUUCUAAGUCAGGGGUGAAAUCCUGGAGCUCAACUCCAGAACUGCCUUUGAUACUGGAGAGCUUGAGUCCGGAAGAGGUGAGUGGAACUCCGAGUGUAGAGGUGAAAUUCGUAGAUAUUCGGAAGAACACCAGUGGCGAGGGCGACUAACUGGACAUGUAUUGACGCUGAGGUGCGAAAGCGUGGGGAGCAAACAGG